Molecule: ribosomal RNA, 252 nt
Filed under: uncultured bacterium
Lineage: Bacteria
Description: partial 16S ribosomal RNA
Rfam family: Bacterial small subunit ribosomal RNA
Source: RNAcentral
UACGUAGGUGGCAAGCGUUGUCCGGAAUUACUGGGUGUAAAGGGAGCGUAGGCGGGAAGACAAGUUGAAUGUUUAAACUAUCGGCUCAACCGAUAAUCGCGUUCAAAACUGUUUUUCUUGAGUGAAGUAGAGGCAGGCGGAAUUCCUAGUGUAGCGGUGAAAUGCGUAGAUAUUAGGAGGAACACCAGUGGCGAAGGCGGCCUGCUGGGCUUUAACUGACGCUGAGGCUCGAAAGCGUGGGUAGCAAACAGG